This 479-nucleotide long non-coding RNA is filed under the name Gossypium barbadense (sea-island cotton). Its description in RNAcentral is "long non-coding RNA (GBAR_LNC014983)". Lineage: Eukaryota; Viridiplantae; Streptophyta; Magnoliopsida; Malvales; Malvaceae. The record is from RNAcentral.
UAACUUUUCCAUUUCCUUCCUCAGUGCAUUGGCUCUCACCAAGCUCCCAAUGGUAUUCACAGCCAACUUGAGAUCCUCCAGUGGAUUUCCGGGUGCCACUGUCUUGUACAAGUAACUGUCAAAUGUCAUCUUCUGCACAUACUCAUCCGCGCACAUCUCCACGAAAGCUUCCCUUGCAGGGUUCGAUCUGUAGAAGACCUUCUGCAAUACAUCUAAUACCUUGUAGGUUGGCCAGUAUUUCUUGUCCCACUUCUCCAAGUACUUCCUCAAGUCCCCUUCAUCCACCAUCUUCUUCCCAUUCUGUGACCCCUCAACAAUCGCCUCUGCACACAUUCUCCCGCUCUUAGCUGCAAAGUAGAUACCUUCACCCGAGCAUUUCGUCACAUAUCCAGCUGCAUCCCCAACUAAGGCUACCCUCCCGGAUAACCUGCGUGGACGGGGAUGCUCGGGGAUUGGGUGUGCCUCAACUCGUAUAAUUU